Molecule: long non-coding RNA, 864 nt
Filed under: Homo sapiens (human)
Lineage: Eukaryota; Metazoa; Chordata; Mammalia; Primates; Hominidae
Description: non-protein coding lnc-POLR2I-1:1
Source: RNAcentral
GGCCCGGGAAAGGACCAGAACAGGCGGCGAAGACUGAAGCCCGGAGGUAGGAGUGGCAAGAGCUCGCCCAGUCCGCGAAGGGUAAACUCGCGCAUGCGCACUGGCCUUCAACCAAGCCAAGCGCCUUGGCUUCUGUCCUGGAUGCUCAGUGUUUUGCGGUUUACGAUGCGCAUCGUUUUCCCGGCUCUGGCACCAGAUCCAUACUAUUCUGUAAACUGAGGCGGCGAUGCCCAAAAAUUGGAAGCAAUUACUCUAAGAUAUCAAAAGAUUGAAGCAAGCCAUGAAACCUCUGCGCGGAGAGAGCCGAGCCCGAGGCGGCGGGGAGCCAGCACGUGUGCGCAGCUCCGCCCUCUUUUGGCGAAGCACCUAGGCCUGGCCCCUCCCGCGACCUGUAGCGCGGCGGAGCAAGCGCGGAAGGCUGGGAGGGCUGCGCGGGCUGCGCGUCGCCAUGGAGCCCGACGGGACUUACGAGCCGGGCUUCGUGGGUAUUCGCUUCUGCCAGGAAUGGUGCGGCCACAAGGAGGCUGUGUUCUUCCAGUCACACAGUGCGCGGGCCGAGGUAAGUGGCGCGAGGGCUUUCUAAGUAUCUGGGGCUUGUUUGGUCCUUUCUGGGGGCGGGGAUAUCAAUGUGGGUGACCCUGCGCUUCUUGGAACUCUGCCGGGCCCUUACCUAUUGGUGAAGUUCUCUUGCCUGUUCUUUUGGGGUAAGGCGCUGCUGGGUCCAAAUCCUUCCUAACCAUGCAUCAUUUCUGCCAGGACGCCAUGCGCCUUUACUACGUGUGCACAGCCCCACACUGCGGCCACCGCUGGACCGAGUGACCUCCUCUCUCCCCCGAGUGUAAUAAACACCAGAUUCCAUGCGUG